AUGAGAUUUUACAAAAUAAGACCAUACCACACUUUCCUAUUUCCCUGAUGCCUAGAACAGUUCCUUAACAUAGGAGGUAGGUUACAAAGGUUUAUUGAAUGAAAGGAUAUGACUUGUAAAUGUAUAUUUUGUGUCUACUAUUUAAGAUCCACAAAGAAAUCAUCAAAGCCAUGUGAAAACAUGGUAACCAUUGAUCAAACAAUGUAAUAUUAUCACUAUAGUUUCUCAGUAGGUCACAAUCCCUCAAGACUCCGCAGUCAAAAUGGAACUCUACAUUGUUUCAUAGCCUCUUUUUUAGAUUGGAGUCCAAGAGCUACAUCAGAAGUAAGUGGAGAACCUAGGAAUUGGAGAGGAUAGAGUAAAGAUUGAUCCCAAAGAGCAAAGACCAUUCAUCUAAACUUAGAAACAGAAAAGUGGAAUGUAUGACAUUGAAGAGAGUGUCCAAACAUAGCAUCAAAAAGAUUUAUUUUCUUCAUCAGUACUGAAUGAUUCCUGACAACCAUCUAGCAGCAUUAUUUGUGGGUUGUUCUCUAACACCUCACCCCAAUAUAUAUAUAUAGUAAAGUAACACUGAUAAGUUAAGGUAAACAAGAUAUCUAAAUACCAUUACACAAAAAUCAGGGGUCUGUGAUGGCUGAACAAAUUGCCCUAUGUACUAGAGAGGGGAAAUCAGAAGAUGUCACACCAGGAAGUAGUUGAAUGAAAGAAGCUGAAUCUUGAGCCCCCCUUCCCUCUCUACUUCCUGUUCUUCCUUUCACCAAGCAACCUAAUGGAGGUUUUCUUCACAGAUGAAAACUAUCUCUCAUAACAAAACCUGCCAAGGAAAGAGAAGGGAGGGAGUAGGAGAAAGCAGUUCCCCCAAAGCUACCCACAUCAAAAAUGAACAACUAAAACAGUCCUGUAUAGAGGCAAUUAGGAAGCAUAAUGGAUCGAGUGCCAGGAGUCAUAGGAUCUGGUUUCAAAUCUGGCCUCAGCCACUUCUUAGCUGGAUGACUCUGGAGAAUUGCCUGGGAAGGAAACUACUUCUCCCAAAGAAGAUCAGCACCUGCUCUGCAAUGUCAGUCUUAGAGAGGAAUGUGGAGCACGGAGAAGUUCAAUGUCAUCCUCUCCAUGGAACCGCAUUGGAGGUAACACUUGCACUCCUCAGUGCUCCUCCUGCCUCUGCUCUAAGAUGGGCUCUCCACAUACUCCACUUAUCCAUACUGCCUUGCAGAGAAGAUAUUCUAUAUAGGUUUUAAUAAAUGAAUUUAAACCGGACCCCUCAUCCCCUCCAUUACUUAUUGAUCUGCUCCCUAUAAUUCUUUCAGGCUCUACUGACUGCAAUCUCCAUCGAUUUCUUUCUCUCUUUUUUUGUGGGAGGGGGUGGGGGGACAGGGAGUAAGGUGGAGGAGAGAAGAGAAGGGAUCUAACAGUAGCUGUCCAGUAGGGGCAGUUUUAUAAGGAAGUGGGGGGGACCAAAAUAAUGAAUGCUAUUAAGUGUCUCAAUGAACUUAGAGAACUGAGUUCAAAUAUCAGGUCUGUUACUUGGUACCUUAGUUGUUCAUCCUCCAUUCUCAAAGAGGACCAAUGACCAUGACGAGUGAUGUGUUGCCUUGUACCUGAAUUGGAUCUAAGUGAAGCAGAGCUGCACAAAGUCUUUAGCCUCCUUCUCUCUUCCAGAAUC
This 1663-nucleotide long non-coding RNA is filed under the name Monodelphis domestica (gray short-tailed opossum). RNAcentral describes it as "lncRNA (ENSMODG00000036004.2)". The record is from RNAcentral. Lineage: Eukaryota; Metazoa; Chordata; Mammalia; Didelphimorphia; Didelphidae.